AUUGAACGCUGGCGGCAGGCCUAACACAUGCAAGUCGAGCGGAGCGGCGGCCUGGUGAGUAAUGCCUAGGAAUCUGCCUGGUAGUAGGGGAUAACGUCCGGAAACGGGCGCUAAUACCGCAUGCUAUCAGAUGAGCCUAGUUCGGAUUAGCUAGUUGGUGGGGUAAAGGCCUACCAAGGCGACGCUCCGUAACUGGUCUGAGAGGAUGAUCCGUCACACUGGAACUGAGACACGGUCCAGACUCCUACGGGAGGCAGCAGUGGGGAAUAUGGGACAAUGGGCGAAAGCCUGAGCCAGCCAUGCCGCGUGUGUGAAGAAGGUCUUCGGAUUGUAAAGUACUUUCAGCGGGGAGGCGUUACCCGCAGAAGAAGCACCGGCUAACUCCGUGCCAGCAGCCGCGGUAAUAC
RNAcentral lists this ribosomal RNA (407 nucleotides) under uncultured bacterium. RNAcentral's name for it is "partial 16S ribosomal RNA". It matches the Rfam family "Bacterial small subunit ribosomal RNA", at positions 30 to 526 of the family's 1533-position model. The record is from RNAcentral.